Long non-coding RNA from Bradysia coprophila, 332 nucleotides. Lineage: Eukaryota; Metazoa; Arthropoda; Insecta; Diptera; Sciaridae. The record is from RefSeq and is a predicted model, not a curated record.
UUGGAAAAGAUUUUAAUCAUUUUUAUAUUAAAAAAAAAAAACUUUCGAUGCGCAUGAAGAAGACGACCACGUUGAAUGCUAUACUUGCACCGAGCGUUAUUUCAUCUUAAUAAAAAAGAUAGGAAAAUUUUCCAAAAGAACAUCUCGCAUUCCGAACUCGGCUAAUUUUAGUGAACAAAGAAAGUUAUUGCAAAAAAAAAAUGCCAAAAAAAACCAACGCAAGGUCAACAUUCUAUCGAUAUAUACAUCUACUUUGUACAGCCGUUCAGACGAUAUAAUCAGCGAAAAACGUGAAUGGAUUUACUUUGGCUUAAUAUUUUAAUUUAAAUUUA